This 497-nucleotide ribosomal RNA is filed under the name uncultured bacterium. RNAcentral's name for it is "partial 16S ribosomal RNA". It matches the Rfam family "Bacterial small subunit ribosomal RNA", at positions 28 to 507 of the family's 1533-position model. The record is from RNAcentral.
GAUGAACGCUGGCGGCGUGCCUAAUACAUGCAAGUCGAGCGAACAGACGAGGAGCUUGCUCCUCUGACGUUAGCGGCGGACGGGUGAGUAACACGUGGAUAACCUACCUAUAAGACUGGGAUAACUUCGGGAAACCGGAGCUAAUACCGGAUAAUAUAUUGAACCGUAUGGUUCAAUAGUAAAAGACGGUUUUGCUGUCUCUUAUAGAUGGAUCCGGGCCGCGUUGGCUGGUUGGUAAGGUAAAGGCUUACCAAGGGAACGAUGCGUAGCCGACCUGUGAGGGUGAUCGGCCACACUGGAAGUGGGACACGGUCCAUGCUCCUGAGGGAGGCAGCAGUAGGGAAUCUUACGCAAUGGGCGAAAACUUGACGCAGUAGGCGCGCGUGAGUGGUGAAGGCGUUGCGAUCGUAAAACUCUGUUACGAGGGAAGAACAGAUGUGUAAGUAACUAUGCAGGUCGUGACGGUACCGGAUCAGAAAGCCACGGCUAACUACGUG